Molecule: long non-coding RNA, 298 nt
Organism: Amborella trichopoda
Lineage: Eukaryota; Viridiplantae; Streptophyta; Magnoliopsida; Amborellales; Amborellaceae
Source: RefSeq, a predicted model, not a curated record
AGAUAACGGGUUUUGUUCUCCUGGCACACCUCCUUUGACGGAAACCGUUAUGCGAGCUGACCAAUUAAAUCCUCGGCUUAUGACUCGGUUGUGGAACGCUUGGACUAUGCUCCCGCAGCAGCGUAGUGUACAUCUACUCCCUCGUUCAGAUAAUUCACUUGAGAAUUGUUUUGAUUAUUUUCAAUGCAAAAAAUUUGAAUUUUUUGUUCUUCAACAUCUAGGUCUUCCCUCCAAAAUUGGACGAUUAUUGUACAAUCGUUAAAUCUUUUCAGAAAAGUUGAGAGUAAGAGUUAAUUUC